UACGAAGGGGGCUAGCGUUGUUCGGAAUUACUGGGCGUAAAGGGUCUGUAGGUGGCCAACUAAGUCAGACGUGAAAUCCCUCAGCUUAACUGGGGAACUGCGUCUGAGACUGGAUGGCUCGAGUGCAGGAGAGGAAUGCGGAAUUCCAGGUGUAGCGGUGAAAUGCGUAGAUAUCUGGAGGAAUACCAGUGGCGAAGGCGGCCUUCUGGACGGAUACUGACGCUGAGGCGCGAAAGCCAGGGGAGCAAACGGG
Molecule: ribosomal RNA, 253 nt
Filed under: uncultured bacterium
Lineage: Bacteria
Description: partial 16S ribosomal RNA
Rfam family: Bacterial small subunit ribosomal RNA
Source: RNAcentral